This 875-nucleotide ribosomal RNA is filed under the name uncultured archaeon. RNAcentral's name for it is "bacterial SSU rRNA". It matches the Rfam family "Archaeal small subunit ribosomal RNA", at positions 31 to 913 of the family's 1478-position model. The record is from RNAcentral.
UAUCGGAUUGAUACUAAGCCAUGCGAGUCAUUGCAGUAAUGCAAGGCAGACGGCUCAGUAACGCGUAGUCAACCUACCCUAUGGACGGGAAUAACCUCGGGAAACUGAGUAUAAUGCCCGAUAGAACACUAUACCUGGAAUGGUUUGCGUUCCAAAUGAAUGUCGCCGUAGGAUGGGACUGCGGCCUAUCAGUUUGUUGGUGAGGUAAUGGCCCACCAAGACUAUUACAGGUACGGGCUCUGAGAGGAGUAGCCCGGAGAUGGGUACUGAGACACGGACCCAGGCCCUAUGGGGCGCAGCAGGCGAGAAAACUUUGCAAUGUGCGAAAGCACGACAAGGUUAAUCCGAGUGGUUUGUGCUAAACGAACCUUUUGACAGUCCUAGAAACACUGUUGAAUAAGGGGUGGGCAAGUUCUGGUGUCAGCCGCCGCGGUAAAACCAGCACCUCAAGUGGUCAGGAUGAUUAUUGGGCCUAAAGCAUCCGUAGCCGGCUCUGUAAGUUUUCGGUUAAAUCUGUACGCUCAACGUACAGGCUGCCGGGAAUACUGCAGAGCUAGGGAGUGGGAGAGGUAGACGGUACUCGGUAGGAAGGGGUAAAAUCCUUUGAUCUAUUGAUGACCACCUGUGGCGAAGGCGGUCUACCAGAACACGUCCGACGGUGAGGGAUGAAAGCUGGGGGAGCAAACCGGAUUAGAUACCCGGGUAGUCCCAGCUGUAAACUAUGCAAACUCAGUGAUGCAUUGGCUUGUGGCCAAUGCAGUGCUGCAGGGAAGCCGUUAAGUUUGCCGCCUGGGAAGUACGUACGCAAGUAUGAAACUUAAAGGAAUUGGCGGGGGAGCACCACAAGGGGUGAAGCCUGCGGUUCAAUUGGAUUC